RNAcentral lists this ribosomal RNA (439 nucleotides) under uncultured bacterium. RNAcentral's name for it is "partial 16S ribosomal RNA". It matches the Rfam family "Bacterial small subunit ribosomal RNA", at positions 338 to 794 of the family's 1533-position model. The record is from RNAcentral.
CCUACGGGAGGCAGCAGUGGGGAAUAUUGCACAAUGGGGGAAACCCUGAUGCAGCGACGCCGCGUGUGGGAAGACGGUCCUCUGGAUUGUAAACCACUGUCCCCAGGGACGAAGAUGACGGUACCUGGGGAGGAAGCUCCGGCUAACUACGUGCCAGCAGCCGCGGUAAUACGUAGGGAGCGAGCGUUGUCCGGAAUUACUGGGUGUAAGGGGAGCGUAGGCGGGGAUGCAAGUUGGGUGUCAAAACUACCGCCCCAACUGGUAGUCGCACUCAAAACUGCAGUUCUUGAGUGAAGUAGAGGCAGGCGGAAUUCCGGGUGUAGCGGUGAAAUGCGUAGAUAUUAGGAGGAACACCAGUGGCGAAGGCGGCCUGCUGGGCUUUUACUGACGCUGAGGCUCGAAAGUGUGGGGAGCAAACAGGAUUAGAUACCCCAGUAGU